This 301-nucleotide ribosomal RNA is filed under the name uncultured bacterium. RNAcentral's name for it is "partial 16S ribosomal RNA". It matches the Rfam family "Bacterial small subunit ribosomal RNA", at positions 509 to 807 of the family's 1533-position model. The record is from RNAcentral.
CAGUCGCCGCGGUAAUACGAAGGGUGCAAGCGUUAAUCGGAAUUACUGGGCGUAAAGCGUGCGUAGGCGGUUUGUUAAGUCUGCUGUGAAAUCCCCGGGCUCAACCUGGGAAUGGCAGUGGAUACUGGCUCGCUAGAGUGUGUCAGAGGAUGGUGGAAUUCCCGGUGUAGCGGUGAAAUGCGUAGAGAUCGGGAGGAACAUCAGUGGCGAAGGCGGCCAUCUGGGACAACACUGACGCUGAGGCACGAAAGCGUGGGGAGCAAACAGGAUUAGAUACCCCGGUAGUCCCUGUCUCUUAUAC